ACGGGUGAGUAAUAUAUCGGAACGUGCCCAAUCGUGGGGGAUAACGUAGAGAAAUUUACGCUAAUACCGCAUACGAUCUAAGGAUGAAAGCGGGGGAUCGCAAGACCUCGCGCGAUUGGAGCGGCUGAUAUCAGAUUAGGUUGUUGGUGAGGUAAAAGCUCACCAAGCCGACGAUCUGUAGCUGGUUUGAGAGAACGACCAGCCACACUGGGACUGAGACACGGCCCAGACUCCUACGGGAGGCAGCAGUGGGGAAUUUUGGACAAUGGGCGAAAGCCUGAUCCAGCAAUGCCGCGUGCAGGAAGAAGGCCUUCGGGUUGCAAACUGCUUUUGUACGGAACGAAACGGCUCUUUCUAAUAAAGAGGGCUAAUGACGGUACCGUAAGAAUAAGCACCGGCUAACUACGUGCCAGCAGCCGCGGUAAUACGUAGGGUGCGAGCGUUAAUCGGAAUUACUGGGCGUAAAGCGUGCGCAGGCGGUUAUAUAAGACAGUUGUGAAAUCCCCGGGCUCAACCUGGGAAUUGCAUCUGUGACUGUAUAGCUAGAGUACGGUAGAGGGGGAUGGAAUUCCGCGUGUAGCAGUGAAAUGC
RNAcentral lists this ribosomal RNA (591 nucleotides) under uncultured bacterium. RNAcentral's name for it is "bacterial SSU rRNA". It matches the Rfam family "Bacterial small subunit ribosomal RNA", at positions 102 to 689 of the family's 1533-position model. The record is from RNAcentral.